CGGCGGACGGGUGAGUAACACGUGGAUAACCUACCUAUAAGACUGGGAUAACUUCGGGAAACCGGAGCUAAUACCGGAUAAUAUAUUGAACCGCAUGGUUCAAUAGUGAAAGACGGUUUUGCUGUCACUUAUAGAUGGAUCCGCGCCGCAUUAGCUAGUUGGUAAGGUAACGGCUUACCAAGGCAACGAUGCGUAGCCGACCUUAGAGGGUGAUCGGCCACACUGGAACUGAGACACGGUCCAGACUCCUACGGGAGGCAGCAGGC
Molecule: ribosomal RNA, 266 nt
Filed under: uncultured Staphylococcus sp.
Lineage: Bacteria; Bacillati; Bacillota; Bacilli; Caryophanales; Staphylococcaceae
Description: partial 16S ribosomal RNA
Rfam family: Bacterial small subunit ribosomal RNA
Source: RNAcentral